AUACCUUUCUCGGCCUUUUGGCUAAGAUCAAGUGUAGUAUCUGUUCUUAUCAGUUUAAUAUCUGAUAUGUGGACCAUCGGUUCACACGAUAUUAACUCAAUUUUUUAAGGGGAAGAGUCCAUUAAGGUAGCUUGCUACCUGGGCUCUUGCUCGUCGCCCAUGUGUUGCACUACUGCACGGGCCUGGCGUACCCCAC
RNAcentral lists this small nuclear RNA (196 nucleotides) under Solanum tuberosum (potato). RNAcentral describes it as "U2snRNA". It matches the Rfam family "U2 spliceosomal RNA". Rfam says of the family: U2 is a small nuclear RNA (snRNA) component of the spliceosome (involved in pre-mRNA splicing). Lineage: Eukaryota; Viridiplantae; Streptophyta; Magnoliopsida; Solanales; Solanaceae. The record is from RNAcentral.